UACGUAGGCAGCGAGCGUUGUUCGGAGUUACUGGGCGUAAAGGGUGUGUAGGCGGUUGUUUAAGUUUGGUGUGAAAUCUCCCAGCUCAACUGGGAGGGUGCGCCGAAUACUGAAUGACUUCGAGUGCGGGAGAGGAAAGUGGAAUUCCUGGUGUAGCGGUGAAAUGCGUAGAUAUCAGGAGGAACACCGGUGGUGUAGACGGCUUUCUGGACCGUAACUGACGCUGAGACACGAAAGCGUGGGUAGCAAACAGG
Molecule: ribosomal RNA, 254 nt
Filed under: uncultured bacterium
Lineage: Bacteria
Description: partial 16S ribosomal RNA
Rfam family: Bacterial small subunit ribosomal RNA
Source: RNAcentral